RNAcentral lists this ribosomal RNA (412 nucleotides) under uncultured bacterium. RNAcentral's name for it is "bacterial SSU rRNA". It matches the Rfam family "Bacterial small subunit ribosomal RNA", at positions 94 to 541 of the family's 1533-position model. The record is from RNAcentral.
AGUGGCGGACGGGUGAGUAACACGUGAGAAUCUGCCCAUAGGACGGGGAUAACAUCGGGAAACUGGUGCUAAUACCGGAUGAGCCGAGAGGUAAAACAUUUAUGGCCUAUGGAGGAGCUCGCGGCUGAUUAGCUAGUUGGUGGGGUAAGAGCCUACCAAGGCAAUGAUCAGUAGCUGGUCUGAGAGGAUGAUCAGCCACACUGGGACUGAGACACGGCCCAGACUCCUACGGGAGGCAGCAGUGGGGAAUUUUCCGCAAUGGGGGCAACCCUGACGGAGCAACGCCGCGUGAAGGAAGAAUGUUUGUGGACAGUAAACCUCUUUUAAUAGGGAAGAAUUCUGACGGUACCUAUUGAAUAAGCAUCGGCUAACUCCGUGCCAGCAGCCGCGGUAAUACGGAGGAUGCAAGCGU